GAUGAGGAACGUAGCGAAAUGCGAUAAGUAAUGUGAAUUGCAGAAUUCAGUGAAUCAUCGAAUCUUUGAACGCACAUUGCGCCCUCUGGUAUUCCGGGGGGCAUGCCUGUUCGAGCGUCAUUACAACCCUCAAGCUUUGCUUGGUAUUGGACAUUGCCAGUUUCUGGCAGGUCUUAAAAUCAGUGGCGGUGCCAUUUGGCUUCAAGCGUAGUAAUUCUUCUCGCUUUGGAGAUCCAGGUGGUUACUUGCCAAUAACCCCCAAUUUUUUCAGGUUGACCUCGGAUCAGGUAGGGAUACCCGCUGAACUUAAGCAUAUCAAUAAGCGGAGGA
RNAcentral lists this unclassified non-coding RNA (330 nucleotides) under soil metagenome. RNAcentral describes it as "partial contains 5.8S ribosomal RNA, internal transcribed spacer 2, and large subunit ribosomal RNA". The stretch from base 1 to 120 matches the Rfam family "5.8S ribosomal RNA", at positions 35 to 154 of the family's 154-position model. The record is from RNAcentral.